AUUGAACGCUGGCGGCAGGCUUAACACAUGCAAGUCGAGCGGAGCGAGGGUGCUUGCACCUUAGCUUAGCGGCGGACGGGUGAGUAAUGCUUAGAAAUCUGCCUAUUAGUGGGGGACAACAUUCCGAAAGGGAUGCUAAUACCGCAUACGCCCUACGGGGGAAAGCAGGGGAUCUUCGGACCUUGCGCUAAUAGAUGAGCCUAAGUCGGAUUCGCUAGUUGGUGGGGUAAAGGCCUACCAAGGCGACGAUCUGUAGCGGGUCUGAGAGGAUGAUCCGCCACACCGGGACUGAGAGCAGGCGCAGACUCCUACGGGAGGCAGAAGUGUGUAAUAUGGGAAAAUGGGCGGAAGUCUGAUCCAGCCAUGCGGCGUGUGUGAAGAAGGCCUUUUGGUUGUAAAGCACUUUAAGCGAGGAGGAGGCUACUAGUAUUAAUACUACUGGAUAGUGGACGUUACUCGCAGAAUAAGCACCGGCUAACUCUGUGCCAGCCGCCGCAGUAA
Molecule: ribosomal RNA, 501 nt
Filed under: uncultured bacterium
Lineage: Bacteria
Description: partial 16S ribosomal RNA
Rfam family: Bacterial small subunit ribosomal RNA
Source: RNAcentral